GACGCCGCAGCGGCUGCACCGGUGCGCCCGACCGCUGCUUAUUUAAUCCUGCAUCCUCUCUGGCUGCAGGCCUCCCCGUUCGCCACCCCCUACCUGUCGACUGCCGAGCUCACCUGAUCUAGGGUUUAGCGGAGUGCCCUCGCGACGUAGCGACGGGUCGAUCCAUCCAGAUAUGCAUUUGGGGGCAGCAAGCUCGAGGCAACAACUGCAUAGCUUGCAAGAGCUUGUUGGUUGAGGGUCAUACCGAUGGUGCUCUUGCAAGUUAUGCAGUUGCUGCCUCAAGCUUCCUGCCUCCCUUUGCCAGAGCUAGUAAGAUGGAAAAGCUUUCAAUUAACAUAAAUGAGAGUGACUGGACAACCAAAUGAUCUCUACUUUAGCAUAUGGAUUACAACUACAACAAAAAGAACAAAACCUCUUGCUUCGAAGGAAGUUGGGUUUUAGUAGAGUUGAAACCCAUGUACCCAACAAGAGCCAAAUAAUGAAAGAAAAUAAGAAUGCAACAAGCAAUCUGAUCCUACAGAGACAUGUAGACACAAUAUCAUUUUUGUGAGCUAUAAGCUCGUAUGAAGGCAUCUUUGGUUUGGAAACUAUUAAUGGUUCAAGAGAAAUUCUCUCCUUACAUUCUAGAAAAAAUAUGGAGUGGCUCGAUGAGCUGAUGUUCGGCGGCAGUGAGGGAUGACAGGGAGAGGCGCCUGUUGCAGGGAUGGGCACCCAUGGUGGGGAGGGGCUCAGCAGGGAUAGGGGACUGGGGGCUUGUUUUGGCUGGCGAGUGUGGGUGGGAUCUGCACUGAAGAGGGAGAGGAAUGGUGGGAAAGACAAAAAAGUAGAGGUGACCUCGAGAGUCCCUAUGAAUGAAGGGGCUUGAGGGGAGAAUUUGAGGGCCUUUUACUUUUUGGAGCCUGAUUAGGGUCCUGCUAGAGUGGGUUUUUUGCUAUCCAGCUCUCAAAGUAGUAUAGGGGUCUUGCUGGAGAUGCGCUAACACAAACUUUAUUUCUCAUCCUUGUUUACUUAUCAAAAUAUGUUUGCUCACAAGAUUACUUGAUCUGAACUUUGCUCUUUUAAACAUGUUGUAUGUACCAUUUUUAUUUAAGUUUUGUUCACUUUUGUAUUCUUCUCCUACAUACAUAAACAUGAGGAUGUUACCAUCUAACAUGAACUUAGUGUUGCAUCCUGAAAAUGUUAUAGCAUAUAAAUUGAGAAAAUUCUGAAAAUGUUAUCUAUAGCAUAGGAAUUGGGAUAUUUGUGCUGUACAUCUUGAGUAAAUUGCUCUCAGCAUAGUUGAGAAUAAUUGGUCUAAAAUGCAGCCCUGUUGGUUUGGGCUUCCUAGGAGCUUUUGGAUUUUUCAAAAGCUAAAAAGCUCCAAGAAGCCAAGUGAGCUUCUGGGCUUUUGGCUUCUAGCAGCUGUUUGGCUUUUAGAAAGUCCAAAAGUGGCCCAAAGCUCAAACAAACAGGGCGCCAAGAUGCCACUGCGAUAUAGAUAUAUUGCUCUAAGUUAUAAAUAUUUUUCACCUUUUCAAAAUAAUUUUCUUGGUGGUUUUGUAAAGUUACACCAUCUUGAAUUAUUUUGGACAAAAAUAUGGAAAAGUUGCAUUGCUUGGUGCUUGUGGGUUAAUGUUUGUUUCACUUAAAACUGACUAGUUUAUUACCACGUUCAUCCUGGUUAUGGUUGAGAUGAUCAGAACCUGGAGCCAACAAUAAUGUGUGUGUCCAGCAGAAGUUCUUGAGGAUGAAAGGUAACCAGUAUAUGAAAUGUUUGUUUCAGUUUUGUGAUUUCUAUUUGGGGUCAACAUAGUUUGAAUAUAGCAGGUGAUGCUUCAUAGCGGCUACAUUAUGCAGGUUGGAACCAUUUGCAGUUAUUACCAUGAUGUUCAUGGCCCCUGUUGUUUUUCUUAAAUCCCUAUAUCAGAAUCAAAAGGCAGGACAUGCCAGUCAAAUUUCAUGAGCUUUUGGCUUGGUCUACGCUCACACACUAUAAAUGGCAGUGUAAUAGGUUGCCUUACAAACCUAUAGCUCUUUUUUACAAGAGAUCUGCCUUUUAUAAAACCUGUGUUUAGCUACUACCUAAAGGCAGACAGACCACAUAUGGUAGCUAAACCAUAGUAAAUUUAGUCAUUUUUCUUACUCUGAUUCAGUAAUACAUGCUACCACCAAAAUAUAUAGUGAUAUGGAACAUUGAACUUGUUAACUUAUUAAUCACACAACUUUUAAUUCCAAGUGCAUUUUUGUGCUUACGCCGCCUAUGGAAGUUCUCAAAUGUAACAUUUGCAGGCAUUGUCUAAGUGAAACUUUUUGUGGGAAAAUAGUUGAGAUAUUUGAUUCAUAUCAUUAGUUAGAUCUGAACUUUUGCUGGAUGGUUCUUCUUUUGCAGCUGUGUCACUAGUUUUUUUUUCUUUGUAGUAUUGUUACAUUGUCAAGAUAUGCUCAAAACCAUAUCCUCCACCGAUAAUGUUUUGGAUGCAGUUCUUUUGGUCAAGGAAACAAAUCAGCAAGUUGCCUCUGCUGUACUGUUCAAUGCAACUGAAGUUAGAUGGUUUUUUAUACUUUAUAACGAAGAGGGACUACAAUUGUCUUCAACUGGCAGUUUGAUAAUUACACAAAUAUUUCUUUACCAACUUAAAUGUCCUCUAGAUAAUUUCUCUACUGCACUUAGUGGCUGCAGCGAUCAGAAUCAUUUGCCACAUUGAUGAUGAUAAUAUGACUAUUUUAUGGGUUUGCUAGCGAGAGUUUUUUUAACUACCCUUAAAAUUGCUCCAUGGGGAGUUGUAUCUAGGUGCUGGAGUCAACUACUAGGCUAUGGAUCCUUUUGCAUAUAUGACAACAUUGUUUGGUUCUGAUAUUAGAGUGUUUCAGAUUAUUGUUUAUGAAUUGAUAAGGCAAGGGAUGUUAUUCUUUCUAUUCAUUGGUAUGCCAUGGUGCCCUAUUUCUCAGAAGCCAAAUUUCAGCUUCUCAUUAACAAACAUCCAGAAGCUAUUUCUCCAUCUCCCCAAAUAUUGUUAGAUAACACUUGUUGCCACCAGGGUCAGUGCAGAUAAGCUCUGUAACUGCAAAGCCUAUAUUGGAGGCCAGAACAUGUUCUGAUCAAGGCAACAUUCAAGAACUGUCAAGACCUGUGUCCGGAUUUUGCUUGAUUAGUUUAUUAAGAGCUUGCCUACCACCUGAAAAUGGAGCUGUAUAUUCAAUUGAGAAUUUAAUUAUGGUUUGUGUUUUAAUUUGGCUGAAUCAACAUGUUAACAAUCUGUUUAUACCAGCAGAAAAUGCAUGUAAUCUAAUGAAUUGUGAUCAAAUUGUGGAUGUUGUUAUCCAUUUCAACAGCCUUGAGCUGCACAUUACAUUGGAAAAUAAUACUUCAUUA
Sorghum bicolor (sorghum) is the source of this 3352-nucleotide long non-coding RNA. RefSeq lists it as uncharacterized. NCBI's taxonomy places the organism in Eukaryota, Viridiplantae, Streptophyta, Magnoliopsida, Poales, Poaceae. The transcript has 3 exons. The record is from RefSeq and is a predicted model, not a curated record.